CAACGUAUCCACGUACCAAACUCUCGAACUGUUCCCGACGGAGUAAACCUCUUGUGGAUGAAGUUUAUGAUUGACUGUCUUUCGCUGAUGGAGUACACUGAUUUCGAUCGGUGGACUGAAAGACUUUCGGUCGCCGGAGCUCGCUCUGGGACUUCGUUUGCUCCGUUGCGGUUUUACCGUCAGCGUGUUUUACCCAUUAUUAACCCUUUGACCUUUUGAACUGAACUUGACAACCUCGCAGCAGUCCUUGCUGGCUUCGGUCACGGACUUUGCGGCUUGGUAAUCAUUUUACGAAACAAAGAA
This 303-nucleotide unclassified non-coding RNA is filed under the name soil metagenome. RNAcentral describes it as "partial internal transcribed spacer 1". The record is from RNAcentral.